ACACGCGAGUGCGAAGAAGGAGCAGCUGAAAAGUGCCAUCACGGGUUUCAUCUUGAAUUUCGCUGCCAGUACCAGCUCCAAAAGCACAACCCCGUGCCUCGUAGACCAACAGGCACUUUUCGAACUUGUGCAUGUAGGAAACAGAAGGUGGUUGCACGCAUCCGUGUUAUUAUUUAUUUUUUUUUGACCUCAAAUAGUAGCAUGCAUUUCAAAAACAGUACUUAGGGCUACUUAUUUAGCAAAGCGCAGCGGGGCAUGCAGCAGCCGGAGCUCGUAGCCUUGUGCGAGCUUCCUAUAAAGAGGAAGAAAUGCACAGCCAUCAUUCAUUCACUACUUCUUUAUGCCAUAAAGAAGCAUUUAUAAAGAGGCUUUGGACCGACACUGAGAGUGCACUGUCUUGUGCAACCCAAGUCGCUGGGGUUGGUUCCCAGGCCGGCAAUGGAACCCAGGCCGCAGCAGCGGGAGCACCCAGGCCUAACCAGUAGGCCUCCAGGUACCCAGCAUAUUAUAAUAGUAUGUUAGCUAACAUCAGACAGGAUCUGAUAUCUGAUCCAGCAUUUUCUGCUGAUAUGGACAUAGGAUUGUAUCCAUCUCUAAUAUUGUAUCUGUCAUAACAUUGUGACUGGCAGUAUGUAAAUCUACCUCUUUUUUUUUUUUUUUUUAAUUUAAAAAAAAAAGAAAUUCCAAGAUGAUAAACAUGCUAGAGUAAAUUUAUUUAUUUACUUAUUUUGCCAUAAGGGUGUGCAAAAGUAAUUUUGUGAAUGUGUGCGAAUGUGCAUUUUUGUGGGUGUAUAUUAUACCCCUGUCAUUAAGGCUGAAACUUGAGUCUAGCUCUGAUGUCUGAGCUCCCGUCACAUCCAGCAGCAACUUGCUGGACACUCCCAUGCACAGAGAUUCCUUUAGACACAAUUCUUUGAAAACACAAAGAAAAAAUAUUUAUUUACACUUUGUUCCAGACCUGCCUGAUUCAUUCUGAUGCUGUACUUCUCCUUGAAGCUUCCUGCACUUGAGGCACUUGAGCCAUAUUCCACAUGGAUACCCUAAAGAUUUGAACUUCCCAAAAACAGUUCUUGCCCAGGUUUCACCCUUGUAGACAAUCUCACCUGGAGCCUAUAGAUUUGUACCUAGAAAUGCUGCUAGAUGUAAUCAGAAAGACUGCCCUGUGUUUAUAAUGAACAUCAGCAUCUUUUCAACUGCUCCUCAUGCUUUGUCACACACUCAGAGGAGAGUGCUAUCUGCCCUCUUCUGCAUACACGAGCUCACAGAUGCCCAGGACUGAUUAGUGUCGCUCUGCUUGAAAGGACAGAAAAUAAUUCCAUCCCUCCUACCCAGACAGCAUGGCCAGUUUUGCUCUGUUGGACUCCUGGCCAUGGAUCACUGUGGAAUCUGUUCCGCUUUCUAUUGCGGCUCUCUCAAGGUUUCUUUCCUCAUGACAUCUCAGGAACAUGGUACUUUCCCCCCUCAUCUCUGGCUUCCUCAACAGGGAUCUAAAUCUACAUCUGGAUUUCUGUAAAGCUUCUUUGUUAUAUUGUCAAUUGUUAAAAGCGCUAUACAAAAUUAAAAUUGAAUUGAAUUAUGAUACACCCCCUUUUC
Molecule: long non-coding RNA, 1593 nt
Organism: Pangasianodon hypophthalmus (striped catfish)
Lineage: Eukaryota; Metazoa; Chordata; Actinopteri; Siluriformes; Pangasiidae
Exons: 3
Source: RefSeq, a predicted model, not a curated record